CCUACGGGUGGCAGCAGUGGGGAAUAUUGGACAAUGGGCGAAAGCCUGAUCCAGCCAUGCCGCGUGUGUGAAGAAGGCCUUCGGGUUGUAAAGCACUUUCAGUGGGGAAGAAAGCCUUGGGGCUAAUACCCUCGAGGAAGGACAUCACCCACAGAAGAAGCACCGGCUAACUCCGUGCCAGCAGCCGCGGUAAUACGGAGGUGGCAGCGUUAAUCGGAAUUACUGGGCGUAAAGCGCGCGUAGGCGGUCUGAUAAGCCGGUUGUGAAAACCCCGGGCUCAACCUGGGAACGGCAUCCGGAACUGUCAGGCUAGAGUGCAGGAGAGGAAGGUAGAAUUCCCGGUGUAGCGGUGAAAUGCGUAGAGAUCGGGAGGAAUACCAGUGGCGAAGGCGGCCUUCUGGACUGACACUGACGCUGAGGUGCGAAAGCGUGGGUAGCAAACAGGAUUAGAUACCCGUGUAGUC
Molecule: ribosomal RNA, 464 nt
Filed under: Vreelandella stevensii
Lineage: Bacteria; Pseudomonadati; Pseudomonadota; Gammaproteobacteria; Oceanospirillales; Halomonadaceae
Description: partial 16S ribosomal RNA
Rfam family: Bacterial small subunit ribosomal RNA
Source: RNAcentral